AGCAAAAAUGACACAGUAUGUUGUAUAUUAAUCAAAUACUUGCUUUCCACAUUCUUUAAAAAAACAUCUGCUGUUAUGUGCAAAAAUUUUAUUCAUGUAACAAAAACCUGCAGAAAACUCAAGGAUUCUAAGAAAUCACAAAUAAAAAAACACUACUCUAACAAAUCAUCUGAAGUCUCAAAAUAUGUGUGUAUGACAAGCAAACUGCUUUGUAUGCAAAAACUUUAUUUUGGCAAUUCAGGACCAUGAAAUAUUUUAUUCCUACACAUUUCUGUGUUUAAAUGUUUCGUCUCUGUGGUUCGUAGUUGACACUUUAUACAGGUUAAUGUUUUCUAUAGUGUUUAAUACCAGCCUGUUCAAUGCCCUUAUUGUAGGACUAAAUCCACAACCCUGUAAUUAUGCAGAGUCUGUAUCCAUCAAGUAAGUUAUUAAUAGAACUGUAAGAAUAAUCAAUGUGCAUAACGUUUUUGCAGCAGUGCAAUAAUUAAAUUAUAUAGAAGCAGGUAGAAAAGCUAUUACUGAUAAUAUAAAUCUUCGUAUCACUUAUAACCAUGCACAUAAAAGCAUAUAUAAUUAUGCAACUAUCAUAAAGGAAAGAAAGGUAUAUUAGAAAGUAUAAAUACUACUACAAUGUAAAAUAUUAAAUAAUGUAAUAACAUACAAGAAUAAGUAUAAGAAAUUUAGAAUUGCAUGUAUUUUCUACUGUAAGAACUCCAAAAAUUAUAGCCCAGUUACAAACAAAUACAGAGAUUUCUCAGUUUCAUAGUUACUGUCAAUCUUGAUGCUGAACACGACUUUCUCUUCGAAACUUAUUUAAAUACAAAUGUAAAUGCUCAAAUUUUCACCGGCAUUUUUCCAAUUGCUCAGCCUACUUUAUUAUGUAUUUUCACUUGUGAAAAUCCAAAGGAAAUCAAUUUAAUGUGCAUGUUACUACAUCAUUUUUAAGUUGCACAGGUGACAUUAUGCUCCAGACAUACCAACAGUACCUGAAAUGGAGCCUGAAGAGCAGCCUUUCAAUAUUCCAGCGUAGCUACUUAUGGAGCCUGGAGAAGAGGGCAACAAAACAAAAACACGAUGUGUCAGUUUACAACUGGGUCAGGAUAUGGAUAUAUAAGGAAGAACUACUACUACUGUAUACUGGAUGAAGAAUAAAAUAAGUCUCCAGCUCAAGCAACAAAAUGGAACUUGGUAUUGGUGGUAUGCAUGAAGCAACAGAUCGAGGCAUCAUUGCACGCAUAUCAACCAUUGUAGCAGCUGGAACAGGGGGUAAUUCUGCACCUUGUCUUGGGCUAUCAUCUAGCCUGUAACAUGUGGAUGUUGUAAACUCACAUCGUAAUGGCGCAGACAUUACGCAGUCCUUGGAAUGGAAGGUGAACAGACGCAAAUGACCGGCCCUGGUUGAAGACAUCAGUCAUCUGAGAGGGGAGUGACAACCAAAUUCUUCAACAACUUCUACUUUUUUAUGGAACCCCAAUGACUGUUCAACCUUUUCUUGAUUCAAGUGAUUCAUGUUUCAUUAUACCAUUUUGAGCUGUUUAUAUUAACUGGGAUACUGAGACAUGUCUGAAUGCACUGAAGAUGGAGACAGUACUUCAGAAUGGUGGUCAUCUACCUAUAAGACUACAAAGUGCCACAACCCAGAACAUCAUCAUCAGGGACCAUCUCAGUCGGUGAUGUUCAAGCAAUUGACAUGAUUAAUGGCCCAAGAAGACUUUUUUAAUGUUAGUCACCAUGAAAACUAUUGGCCACACGGAAGUAAUAUAAGGUGUUCAGUACAUUAACAAUAUUCUAUGAAAGUAUGUAAGAUGGUAUCUGUUCUCUGCGAUGGCACCAAUACUCACGUUCCUCUGUAAUUACUGAUGACGUCAUCUCCUGUGAUAGCAUAAUUUAUUGUGAGCAUGUUCUAAUUUGAGAAUUGCUGUAUGGAUUUCUAUUAAAUUUGGUACGGGAAUUGUGCAAUUGGGGACUAUUUCAAUGUCAUGUAUUUUAGUUGCCUACAACUAGUAAUACCAAUUAGACGGAUGCUGAAAGCUGGGUUACUGAAAUGUGUAUACCAACAAGAUGGCUGUCUUCCGGGUUGUUGUGCCGUGUUGCCUGGUAAAAGUUUACCAACAAUUCGCACCAAUUUCAGCCUUGAUGAUCUACCCAUGCGUCCAUCUAUCAACGGCCAGUCGCACUUUUUUGAUACAUCACCGAUUGGAAGUGGUGUACAGAGUAGAACUGAAUCCACCGAUUAUGACCGCUGACCUUGUAUAGAGAUACCAGUAUGCGAACCACUCAAUGAAGGAAGUACAGUACAGUCUGUGUCAAUGCAGCGGUGUAGAAGCCUGACAAUUGUUGUCCAGUGACUGUUCUGUGUUAACAACAUGCCACCUGUUCGUUGCAAUCUCCUUCUUGGUCAUUGAUAACGCCUCGUAUCAAAACACUCAGACAGACAAACCACCGACGUCUAACUCAAAGAAGGACGAAAUGAAAGCCUGGCUAUUGGAAAGAAACAUCCCAUUUUCUGACAUGUUGAAAGCUCAAUUGUACGAUUUAAUCAAAUUAAAUAAGUCAAAGCCUAAAUAUUAUGCGAUUGAUCAGGCAUAAUCGAAGACGCUAUUGAACGUAUUAUAAUUUAAGAUAAUGGAGUGGACACGAGCAGCGGUAGUGAUGAAUCGAGUGAUGCCAGAAAGCUAUGGUCUGUGAGGAGCGGAAGAAUUGCAAGAGGACCGAAGAGUUGUGAAGAAGACAAAAUUAUCUAAUAAUCUCUGCGGUGUUAAUUUUCUAGUGAUGAGUAAUUUAGUGAAAUCGACUGUCCUGUGUUGCACUCCGUGGUGAUGUUUUAUUUGGAGUGUUCUGUACGCGGCCUGCUGCCAUCGCUUCCAGCAAACUUCUAGUAACUCGCUCCGAGGUUCCAAUUCACAAAGUUCAGCGGCAAAAAAAGCUGGAACGCAUUAUACGUCUGGAACUUUUGUUUAGCCUAUAGAGUAUACAUUUUUAGUCUUGCUUAAUGGCUGUCUUUGCAGUACAUGUUCCCGGCAUUUGGCCCACGCUGUACUACAAAAAUUCUUGUUCUUAUGGACGUGGAUUUUUUACAUAACAUUCUUGAAGAAUUACGAAGUCUUUCGACAGCGAAAGAUUUACGUCGGAUGUGCAAUCCAGUAUGACAGCAAUAUUUUUGCUUCCCUCAACCUGUUACGUUAUUUUUUAUCACUUUGUUGCCCAUGAGGUAUUUUGGAAGUUUACAAGUUUCCGACGACUUAUGUACAAAUUCUUAUGCAAAGCUCGUUAUGCUUAUCAAGAAGGUUCACUAGGCCCAGAAAAUAUCUGUUUUUUGUAGGCUUAUACGGGUGCUACAAGCUCGUGUAAUAAUUAGGAUUUGAGGUUUUCACGGCGUGAGUCUGAAAAUGGAUGUCUUCUGGGUUGUAACGCCGUGUAGUCUGGUAGAUGAAUAUUCGUCACCCUUAUGAUGGAGGCAGCAAGGACCUCUGAAAUGUUUAUAAACUUUUACCAGUCUACACGACACUGCAACCUAAAAUACAGCCAUCUUAGCGUAUGUAAUGUUUCAUUGCGGCACUUCUGUAUCUUUUUAGUUCUGGUUACUGGAAAAAAAAAGAUAAUUACGAUGAUUAAUAAAGUUGAUGAAAAUGUUGAAGAACUAGUGGUCAUGGCUUGUAUAGUUUUGCAAUGUUCCAUCCUGUUAUUUGCCGGAACAGAAUACAAAAAAUGAUAAAAAAUAUACAUUCAGGGUGGUCAGAUCCAGCCGAAUUCUGAAUACGAACGUGACCAUUGUGCCAAGCUAGUUCGAACAUCUUAUUCUUUUCAAUGUAAGUUCUUAAUAUGAAGUAAUCGUUCAUAGUCUACUGAAUUUACGUCAUGACGGCGUGAGCUAGGUGGUAAGACAAUGCCGAUUCAGCACGUUAUAGUAGUCCACGGCCGUUUUAUUCCAUAUCUUUCCAGUUCUUUACUGGCAGGGUCAUUAAAUAAAUUAUAAAUAAACAACCAAAAUGUGUUACAUCAGAGUGACAUUAUUUUUGAUUAGGGAUGUAAUAAAGCUCUUAAGACCAGAAACGAAUCCGACAUAUCUAGAGAAAAAGUAAUACAGAGAGAACAAAUAUUUUCCUUUGAAUUCUUGUUUCAUACAAACCAGCAUGCACGAUCUCAGUUGAACAAUUUAAAUAAACCAUAAAACUUA
Non-coding RNA from Zootermopsis nevadensis, 4177 nucleotides. The record is from RefSeq and is a predicted model, not a curated record. NCBI's taxonomy places the organism in Eukaryota, Metazoa, Arthropoda, Insecta, Blattodea, Termopsidae.